This 107-nucleotide small nuclear RNA is filed under the name Phascolarctos cinereus (koala). Lineage: Eukaryota; Metazoa; Chordata; Mammalia; Diprotodontia; Phascolarctidae. The record is from RNAcentral.
GUGCUUGCUUCAGCAGCGCAUACAUUAAAAUUGGAAUGAUACAGAGAAGAUUAUCAUGGCCCCUGUGCAAGGACGGAACACAAAUUCAUGUAGUGUUGCAUAUUUUU